GUAACGGCGAGUGAAGCGGCAACAGCUCAAAUUUGAAAUCUGGCCCCCAGGGCCCGAGUUGUAAUUUGCAGAGGAUGCUUUUGGCGCGGUGCCUUCCGAGUUCCCUGGAACGGGACGCCAUAGAGGGUGAGAGCCCCGUCUGGUCGGACGCCUAGCCUGUGUAAAGCUCCUUCGACGAGUCGAGUAGUUUGGGAAUGCUGCUCUAAAUGGGAGGUAUAUGUCUUCUAAAGCUAAAUACCGGCCAGAGACCGAUAGCGCACAAGUAGAGUGAUCGAAAGAUGAAAAGCACUUUGAAAAGAGGGUUAAAUAGUACGUGAAAUUGUUGAAAGGGAAGCGCUUGUGACCAGACUUGGGCCCGGUGGAUCAUCCAGCGUUCUCGCUGGUGCACUCCGCCGGGUUCAGGCCAGCAUCAGUUCGCCGCGGGGGAAAAAGGCUUCGGGAACGUGGCUCCUACGGGAGUGUUAUAGCCCGUUGCAUAAUACCCUGGGGCGGACUGAGGUUCGCGCUCCGCAAGGAUGCUGGCGUAAUGGUCAUCAGCGACCCGUCUUGAAACACGGACCAAGGAGUCGUCUUCGUAUGCGAGUGUUCGGGUGUAAAACCCCUACGCGUAAUGAAAGUGAACGCAGGUGAGAGCUUCGGCGCAUCAUCGACCGAUCCUGAUGUUCUCGGAUGGAUUUGAGUAAGAGCAUACGGGGCCGGACCCGAAAGAAGGUGAACUAUGCCUGUAUAGGGUGAAGCCAGAGGAAACUCUGGUGGAGGCUCGCAGCGGUUCUGACGUGCAAAUCGAUCGUCAAAUAUGGGCAUGGGGGCGAAAGACUAAUCGAACCUUCUAGUAGCUGGUUUCCGCGA
RNAcentral lists this ribosomal RNA (849 nucleotides) under Ascomycota sp. UdeA0106. RNAcentral's name for it is "eukaryotic LSU rRNA". It matches the Rfam family "Eukaryotic large subunit ribosomal RNA", at positions 83 to 963 of the family's 3401-position model. The record is from RNAcentral. Lineage: Eukaryota; Fungi; Ascomycota.